Non-coding RNA from Podarcis lilfordi (Lilford's wall lizard), 80 nucleotides. The record is from the annotation of a GenBank genome assembly. NCBI's taxonomy places the organism in Eukaryota, Metazoa, Chordata, Lepidosauria, Squamata, Lacertidae.
UUGGGGGCUUUUCCUGAGGAGGGAGAAGGGACUGAUGUGGCCUGUCAGUCCCUCCUCCCUCCUCGGGGAAAAGCCCCCAA